RNAcentral lists this ribosomal RNA (425 nucleotides) under uncultured bacterium. Its description in RNAcentral is "partial 16S ribosomal RNA". It matches the Rfam family "Bacterial small subunit ribosomal RNA", at positions 354 to 796 of the family's 1533-position model. The record is from RNAcentral.
GUGGGGAAUCUUGCGCAAUGGGCGAAAGCCUGACGCAGCCAUGCCGCGUGAAUGAUGAAGGUCUUAGGAUUGUAAAAUUCUUUCACCGGGGACGAUAAUGACGGUACCCGGAGAAGAAGCUCCGGCUAACUUCGUGCCAGCAGCCGCGGUAAUACGAAGGGGGCUAGCGUUGCUCGGAAUUACUGGGCGUAAAGGGCGCGUAGGCGGACAGCUUAGUCAGAGGUGAAAGCCCAGGGCUCAACCUUGGAAUUGCCUUUGAUACUGGCUGUCUUGAGUUUGGGAGAGGUGAGUGGAACUCCGAGUGUAGAGGUGAAAUUCGUAGAUAUUCGGAGGAACACCAGUGGCGAAGGCGGCUCACUGGUCCAUUACUGACGCUGAGGUGCGAAAGCGUGGGGAGCAAACAGGAUUAGAUACCCCUGUAGUCC